UACGAAGGGUGCAAGCGUUACUCGGAAUUACUGGGCGUAAAGCGUGCGUAGGUGGUUUGUUAAGUCUGUUGUGAAAGCCCUGGGCUCAACCUGGGAAUGGCAGUGGAUACUGGAAAGCUAGAGUGCGGUAGAGGGUAGUGGAAUUCCCGGUGUAGCAGUGAAAUGCGCAGAUAUCAGGAGGAACACCGGUGGCGAAGGCGCCACUCUGGGCCGAAACUGACGCUGAGGAGCGAAAGCGUGGGUAGCAAACAGG
Molecule: ribosomal RNA, 253 nt
Filed under: uncultured bacterium
Lineage: Bacteria
Description: partial 16S ribosomal RNA
Rfam family: Bacterial small subunit ribosomal RNA
Source: RNAcentral